UACGGGGGGAGCAAGCGUUGUUCGGAUUUACUGGGCGUAAAGUGUGCGCAGGCGGCCGCGCAAGUCGAGUGUGAAAUCCCCGAGCUUAACUUGGGAAUUGCGCUCGAAACUACGUGGCUGGAGUGUGGCAGAGGAAGGUGGAAUUCCACGUGUAGCGGUGAAAUGCGUAGAUAUGUGGAGGAACACCGAUGGCGAAGGCAGCCUUCUGGGCCAACACUGACGCUCAUGCACGAAAGCGUGGGGAGCAAACAGG
RNAcentral lists this ribosomal RNA (253 nucleotides) under uncultured bacterium. RNAcentral's name for it is "partial 16S ribosomal RNA". It matches the Rfam family "Bacterial small subunit ribosomal RNA", at positions 524 to 776 of the family's 1533-position model. The record is from RNAcentral.